Aethalodelphis obliquidens (Pacific white-sided dolphin) is the source of this 5950-nucleotide long non-coding RNA. RefSeq lists it as uncharacterized. The transcript is spliced from 5 exons. The record is from RefSeq and is a predicted model, not a curated record. Lineage: Eukaryota; Metazoa; Chordata; Mammalia; Artiodactyla; Delphinidae.
CACCAGUUGGUUCAGAGACAGUUUCCCUGAUGGGCCCCUGAGAUCUGCCAUCCAUCCUGUGCCCAUGUGAGGAGGGAAGCUGGAUGCCCCCCAGGCAGCACUGUUCACCAGGCACUGCUCCUUUCUCUUGGUAACACCUCCAAGUUCCCAGCCCUCCCCAUUCUCUGGAAAAGCCUUCUUUCCCAUCUCUCUUCCCUUAUUGUGUUUGCAGCGGUCAUGCUUGAACAGAACCCCCAGAGAGGUUCCAUUUCUGGGGCCGGCACUGAUCUGUUGGAAGCGACGGCUGCUUGGAAUACUAUCUGGAGAAGAAUCUUCGGCUGUGUCCGGGCCCACGGACCGAUGGGAUCAGUCUGUCUUGGUGCUGGUGGGGCAGGUGGCCGCAGGCGUGUUUGAAGUAGAUGAACUGCUAAGGGAGGAGCCACUUUUUCUUUCCAGGUCAGGCCAUGGUCAAUUCCACGUCAAUGGAAUGCAAAACCUAGAGCCCUGAUGUUACUGAAUCAGGUCUGACUGCUUGAUGCGCAAAAAUCAAUAUUCCAGAGAGAGACAAAAGUUGGUGAAAAGGAAAGCUGCCUUUAAUCAGAAUGCUGGCAAUCUGGGGAAAUGGACCCAGUGUCCCCAAAACCCACCUCCCAAAAUUCUGCUCAGCCGUGGAGUUUGUAAAGGGAAAAGGGGAAGUAAUCUCAGUCAUUGACGUAGGGAGUCAGAGUCGUCGCCAUCCCUCCCCGUGUGCAGGCUUGUCGGCUCCUUGUGAUUCUCCCUUAGGUGCUCUCUUGUUCACACAGUUUGUUCGUGAGAUUGCUGAAAGAAAAGCUAGGGAAGAGAUCUGGUCAUCGGCUGAUUACUUAUUCUUCAUUUCUAAUUUGAUCUAUGGAAAGAACCAACAGAUUAGACAAGGUGUGGUGUGAUCAAAAGAUUUGAAAGGUGUGCUAGGGCCGGAGGUGAGUAGGGCAUAGGGCGCCUGGUUUGAGGUUAGUGACAGGACAAAGGGGCCUCCUGCAGAGAGCUCUUUCCUGCCCAAAGCUGCUUACACGGACUGCCUUUGAUUGGGUUCUUCCAGAAACAGACUAGGAUUCGAGUACAAGUAGCUAACUGGGAGGUGAUCCCAAGAUGCUCUGGUAGGGGAGCAGAGGAGUGAGACAGGAAGGUGAGGGGAAGCUGCUCGGGGCAGGGUACGUUAAGGAGCAUGUCACCAUUGUGGACAUCUGGGAUUUAUGAACAUCUGUGGGAACGUCUGGGCUCUGGUCCUGCCGGGGACCUCCAGGAGACGGUAUAGAAUACAUCUCAGACUUUUCCUACCCAAAGGCUGAGAAAACUGCAGAAUCUAUCUACCAACCCCCACUGAUCGUUGGUCCAGGGCUGCUUCUGGGGCUGCAUUAGUUCCCCAGCCCUACUGGCCGGUUCUGUGGGCUCACCAAGCUCAGCCCUGGAGCCCGAGAAAGCCUGCAGGCAGAGGUCACAAGUGCAAAGGACAAGCUAACGAGGUAAGAGUGGGGCCCUGACAAUAUCCGCUAUGAGAAUUAUGGCAGGAAACUAGGAUUGAGUGGUCUUCAAACAGCUGGCACGUGGUAAGAGCCAGAUGCCUCUCUGCGGCACAUCUAUCUACUCUUUGGAGGACAGUGCUAUAUAUAAGCAUCUGUAACCCCACAAAAGUUGUGGAGGGAGGCUGUCUGGAAGUAGAGCAGUGUUUUUAAACGUACAGUCCAAGAAAGAGAAAGGGGAUUUAAAAGGGAUUUCUUCUCUUUUGAAGGAUAUAGAAGGAAUCUAAUUCAAGACCUCGGGCACCCUUCCCCUUAUUCCACUUUAUCUCCUUCCACAGGGCCUGGACCCUUGAUGGGGACAAAGCUAAUACCCUCUCUGUCUUUGGUGCCCCUGGCUCCGCACGCCCUCCCUUCUGCCAGCUCCCUGCUUGUGCAGAUUGACUUCGCCUCUUGCCCACAUUCUCCUUGGACCUUCCCUCCUCUCCAUCUCCUCUGGGUCCUCAGCCCACUCUCCAAUCUGUCAUCAAAUCCAGUCCCCAGUCUGGUGAGGGGAUAAUAAUCCGUGGGAUUUGCGCUGGUUCCCUCCGAGGCUCAGAAGCUGUGGAUGGCUCGCAGUUGCCUGGCACGUUGAGCACCAAGUCUCGAGCCUAGCCUUUGGGGCCCUGCAUGUCUGUGACCUGUGUGAACAUUGCAGCCUGACCUCUCCUCCACCUGGCCGUCAUCGAGUCCUCCCUGCACGCUGGCUCUCUGAGCUAAGGGACACAUGGAGGAUGAGGCUUCGUCUCACAGAUGAGGCGCUGUGGAUUAUGGACAACUUACUUCCCUUCUUCCAUCCUGUGACCUGAAGUGUAGUCUCUCUGACUCAUGAGGAUACUGACAAAGAGAGAAAUGCAAUGUUGUAGAAGAUUCCCACUUGCACCCCUCUUUGUUGCUAGUGACUUAAAAAGACUAUAAGGAUGAAUCAGCUCACUGUGGCCAGCUCCCUGCUUCCCUUCAAUGAGCAAAGCCCUGCUCUGUGGCACAAACCCUACGUUUGAAAUACAGGUGCAGGAAUAGAUGUCAGUGACAUGAUUUGAAAGGAUUACUGUGCAAGCAGCCCAGCCCCUGGAUGCCUGCCGACUUCAGGCCGGAGCCACGACACCCAUGAGCUCUGUGAUGAAGGUGGCCUCAUGGCUCUGCAUCCCAGCACUGCUUGGGGUGCCAGGACAUAUACCGUGACCUCUGCCAUUGCCAUACACCUGCUGGAACUGUGGGCAAAACCACUGCCCUGUUCCAGGUCUGAACCUGGAAGGGGCAGGCCCAGUUCCUUGUGGCCCCAGGGCUGCUGGGACCACACCUACCACCACCUGUCUCACCUGUCAGAGGGGGUGGGGUGGGAGGGCGCUGAGAGGUGAGUGCUGUAACCCUUUCCUCUCCUCUGGCUAGGGGACCUCGCUGUAUGUGGAGCAUGGGAGAUGGACCUGAAUGUGUUUCUGGCCAGUUCAUGGAAAGGCCUGCUUGGUUAUUGAAAUCAGAGCCUGCCCAUCUUUGGAACUAGGAAUGAGGUCUUUGAUCAGGCUAAAAUUUGGGGAUCUAGAAAUGAACCCACUGCAGUGUCUGCCCUCAAGGAAAGACAAGCAAAUACAGUAGAAUGUGAGAAGCCUUUUCUGUCAUCAUCAGAUGUUCAAGGGCCCACCAUGGGCUCUGCAGAGCCUAUAGCAUGACCCCCACUGUGGCCAUGCCUACAGUCCAGUGGGAAAGACGGCAAAUGAAAAGUCAUGACAUUGAGCUGGGAUGAGUGUUAAGGUCAGAGAAGCAAGAGCCAGGAGCGUAGAGAGCGGGGGUGGUGGUGGGGGGGGGUGGUGGGGGUGGGGGGGGGGGGGGGGGGCUGACCUAGCCUGGGGUCAGGAGGCCUGUCUGAGGUCCCGACAGGUUGGAGGCAUUAGCUGGGGGAGGGGGGAGGGAAUGGGUGCCCCAGGGGUGCAGGGGUUGGGUGUGUGCUGGGGGGCACAAGAGUGGGAAGAGGUGAGCCCAGAGGUCAGACCCUGGUGGGAGGGAGCACGGCAAGAGGAUUUGGGUCUUUAUCUCAUGGAUGUGGGAGCUACAGAAGCUGUCACGCGGACAGACAGGAGGCCAGACAAGCGUUUUCUGUGACGGCUGCCUCUGGCCUCAGUGUGGCAAGAACACAGCCCCUCAGGGAACAUCCUGGCAGUCAGGGGCGAGGCCCUCUUCCUCCUGGGUGCUCUGUCAGCACGGCUCAGAGCAGUGACUCUCAGAAGCUUCCAGCAACAGGCUGACUCAUGCGGUGGCGGCCGCUCGCCCAGUCAAAGAUGGAGCUGGAAGGGCCAUGGCCUGGCGCUGCCUGGGACAGAUGGCAAAGACGUGCCAGCUGCUCCCUGCAGGGCGUUUCUGAGGAAAACCCCCUCCCGCCCCACGCGCGGCCUCCGCUGCCUCCCUGAACUUGCCCAGCUGGCUGCGCCCUGGCUUCUGGCUUGUCACAGCCAGAAUAACCAGAUGGGACCUGUGGGCCCGCGGCCAAGCCCUGCCACGUUAUCGAGUCCUGGCUGGGAAGGGGUCAGGUCUGGGAAACCUCUGCCCCCUCUCAAAGCACCGUGGGAGAAUCCACACCCCAAACCGGUCCCUUCUCUCCAGCCUCCUUCCUUCCCCAGUAAGCUUUCUCCUUACUUAGCCUCUUGACUCCCUCUAUAUUUUCAAUUUUUAUUUAUUGACUUUUGUAAGCAGAGGGAACUGGAAAGGAGCUGAGAGUCACAGUGAGCCUGAUUCUGAAGCCCACUCACCUCGACUUCCCUCCCACUGGACCAGUGACUGCAGGGGACUGUGCAAAGACCGUGGGCUGUGGUCAGGUCGGGUGCCACCCACAAUCUGGCUGUGACCCCUGCCAAGCAGAUGGAGACCAUGACCCGUGGGGGAGGAUGGAAGUGCAGGGAGAGGUCAGGGGUGAAAAGAAAAGCUCUUAACAGCGGCAACUGCCCUAGCACAGGCAAACGCCCAGAACCUCUGGUCUUCACCCUCAGAUAAAUGGAAAAUUCCUCAUGUGCUCCUUGCGGGGUGAAACAGCAAACCCACCUGAAUCCAGGACAGAACAGAUUUUUCAGCUGCCCACAAGCUCCUCACAUGUCCAUUGUUAAAGGUGUACAAGAAUGUUCGCUACAGUAAUUGUUACUAAUUGGGAAGAAUUCGAUGUUCUAGAAUUAGAAGACCUAGAGCAGCUUGGGCUGCGAGGACAAAGUACCACAGGCUGAGGGUGGAGGGGUCAGGGGUGGGGUGGGGCUUAAACCACGGUAAUUUGUUCUCUCGCAGUUCUGAAGGCAGGAAGGCCGAGAUCAAGGUGUUGGAAGGGUUGGUUUCUUCUAAGGCCUCCCUCCUUGGCUGGCAGACGGCCACCUUCCUUCUGAGUCUUCAUCUGAUCUUCCCCCGGGCAGGUCUGCAUCCUAAUCUCCUGUUCUCAGAAACAGUUUCACUGCAGUUACAAAGAACAAGGAAGAUCUAUAUGUAUUGACAGGGAAAGAGUUCCCAGCUUAUUGUUAAGUGGAAAAAGUAAGUCACUGGACAAUAUGAUACUGAUAGCAGUGGUUCCCUCUGGAGAGGUAACAGGAUUGGGGUAAGGGUGGGGUGAGGAAGACAUUUAUAUGUGUAAGUCUGUGCAGAGAUUGGAUUAUUGUUCUCAAUUCUUCACUCCCCUCCUUGCCCUGGCUUUGCAGCUUCUCCCCUGUGGGCUAGGUAUAUCUCCCUGGCCCGUGGAUGUUGAACUUGGCCGGGUGACUUGGUUUGGCCGAUAGAAUUUGGAUGGAGGUGCCCAGAGCAGAGGCCUUAAAUGUGCUUGCUUGGUAUAGUUUGGUCUCUCAGGCUUCUGUGACCCUCAGUGAGAAGAAGGCACCCCAGGAAAUGGCUGACCACGAAGACCACAGUCUUUAAGACUGACCUUCCUGCUGCCAAUGGAGACCAUGAAGACAUGACAAGAAGGGCUGAACCGAACCACAGCCUGGCGCUAGCCCAGCCGACAACACACCUGUGAGCAAGAAAAAUACAUGCUUACCUGGAAAACAUUAUGCUGAGUCAAGCUGUGUCGGGUCUUAGUUGUGGCACACAGAGUCUUUGCUGAGGCAUGCAGGAUUCUCUCUAGUUGUGGUGCGGUGGCCUCGCAGCACGUGGGAUCUUAGUUCCCUGACCAGGGAUUGAACCCAUGUCCCCUGAAUUAAAAGGCAGAUUCUUUACCACUGGACCACCAGGGAAGUGCCUGAAUUAUAUACAGUUUAAACAAGUAAAUCGUAUGGCAGGAGAAUUAUAUUUCAAUAAAGCUAUUCAAAAAGAAACCCACAUUGUUUAAGCCAUUAAGUUUUGGGUGAUUUGUUAAGCAGCGCUUGUGCAGCACUAGCUGACUGAUACAGUAUGUAUGCAUGUGUUUUAUAAUGAGCACAUAUUAUUUGUGUAAUAAAAAUAUGCAAAAUCAGAAUUUAUCGGGUUCCCUCCGA